GGGCAUCUUACUUGCGUAAACACGGGGACUAUGGAUGUGUUGGCUAGUUCGGAUGAUGAGUUUCACCUUAAACUCCAUAUUCGGAGCAAGGCCGACAACUUCACAUGGACCCUCGUCGCUGUGUAUAGGGCAGCCCAGGAUUAGUUCAAGACUGAUUUUCUCCGUGAAUAGGUUAAUCUGGCAAAAGAUAAUCCCUACCCCAUUCUUAUAGGAGGGGAUUUUAAUUUGCUUUGAUUCCCAAGUGAGAAAAGCCGCAGGUUUGAUAAUCAUUGGCCUUUCCUUUUCAAAGCUGUCAUCGACAGUCUAGAUUUGCGAGAGGUUUUCAUGGUUGGAAGACAAUUCACUUGGGCGAACAGUCUUCCUGACCCAACAUAUGAGAAACUAGAUCGCGUUUUAAUGGAUACCGAUUGGGAAUCUAAAUUUCCUAAGGUGUCUGUUUGUGCGCUACCUCGUAUCGAGGCCAUAUCAGACCACACACCCAUCUUCCUAACUACUGGUUUGCCACGACCACAUCAUAGAUGCAAGUUCAAGUUUGAACUUGGUUGGUUGCUUCAGGAUGGCUUCCAUGACAUGGUCAAGGGGGUAUGGCAGAAACCAGUGGCCGGGCGUACCCCAAUACACAAAUGA
RNAcentral lists this ribosomal RNA (627 nucleotides) under Triticum aestivum (bread wheat). Its description in RNAcentral is "partial small subunit ribosomal RNA". Lineage: Eukaryota; Viridiplantae; Streptophyta; Magnoliopsida; Poales; Poaceae. The record is from RNAcentral.